CGUGGCUGCCUCGGUUGCGCAACCGAGACGAGGGACGCUAAAGACGCAGAGGGCUCGGAGCGUCAGUUCAGGCAGCGGAAUUGACGAAGCGCCUCCGGGUGGGCUUCCCGGGAACGCCCGAGGAAACCAUCCCUGCCCUCCUGGAGCUCACGUUCCAGACUGUUGAGACAUUGACUUGUAAACAGCAUCCUGGCUAACUUCAGCAUCUGCAUCAGAAGCCAAGGACAGACUGAAUGUAGAUUCAAGACUCUCCAAAGUGGUGUAAGGAAUUUGGCGUUCGGGGUUUCCAUGACCACAUCUUUGCUUCAUUAUGGUCGGACUAAACAGAUGUAAUCCUGAAAAGCCUAAGAGAAGAUGGCUGCUGUUUCCACAAUCCACAGCCAGUCUUCUCAGAACCAGGCCUGGAGUACUUUGAGGAAAUUGGCCCAACUCUCUGAAUGAUGGAAAGAGAGAAGAAGAGAAGAUCCAGGAGAGAAAUGGCAACAAUAACUAUAAAUUGCCCACUAUUAUCAUUGAUUCCUUAAUCAGUGAAUGGAAUUAAAGGUCAAAAGAUUAAAGUGAUAGGAAGUAUCAAAUCGAGCAUAAAUAAUAAAACAAACCAUUCAACAUCAAUUAACUUGACUACAGAAGUUUGAGAAGUAAAGAAAUUAAAGGUGAGAGAGAACCCAGAGCAGUAGGCUUUGGAAACUUUUUAGUCUAUGUGGUUACAAGAAGUUCAACACAAUGAAAAUGCACAUUGGAUCAAGUAAGAAAAAAAAAUACUGCACACUAUUGCAAUAAUGAAGGAUAUUCUAUCAAAGGAGAUGUCAGAAAUUCUAGCUUCUCUGCAAAAUGGAAGCAGAAGCCACAUAAGGUCAAUUAUUGACUCCAAUGUUUCCCAGUGGCACAAGAAUUACUAGCAAAGCACUUUACCAGCUUUCUCUCUGAAAGCAAGCCUGAUCUCACCUUUCGUGUUAGGAGCCUUCAUGUAGCUAUUGCCAAAAGAUGAGAACACCAGUGACUCCUCCAAAUAAAGGUCGUUUAUGUAUUUAUGAACUCUGGAUAACAUACUCACAGGUUGUCUCCCUUUCCCAACCCCUUAAAUACUUAGAAUAAAACAAUAUGUUAUCUGAAGAGCAUGAGUGGUGUGUCAAGAAAUCCCAGAGGUAUAAAGAGCAAUUUGUUAUCAAUUUGGUAAUUGUUAACCGGCCCUAAGUGCCAUAACAUAUUGCCUUUAUUGGUUAUCCAAAACCCUAUGACAAAGUUCUGCACUCAUGGCUUAUUCAUGUCCUGAAAAUACAUAGACUGGCCUUAAUAAAGUGAGAACACUAGAAAGUUUUAUGUUCACGUGGAAAAUUGUAUUUAAAACAAAACACCAACAUGAUGAUAUAAAGAAAAAUUGGACAUGAGGCAUUUUUCAAGGAGGAAGUUUGUCCAUUAUAAUUAUGCCUAGAUUUAAAUCAGUUAUCUUUCCUAAAUAGGACUAAGUAUAGUUUCCAAACUAAGAAGUCAAACCCAAACACUUGAUUAAUCCCUGGAUGUUCAGGGUGGGUCGAAAGUCAAGAAUAUUUAAUAUUUCCUUUAUUUUUUGUUUUUGAUUUACAAUACCUCAGCAUUGGAUGCAGUAUAUAUAGAAAAUGAAUUUAUAUUCUGUAUGAAAAAUCUCAUAAAAAGCAAAAAAAUUUCAAAAAGGUAUUAAAACAGCAGCCCCCUUUCUGACUUUUGGCCUACUGUGUACAUGUAUCAUAACAGCCUCUAUGACCCCACCAAAAAAUACAUUAAAUAAGUCCUUCAAAGCAUGGUCUCUUUCUCCAAGGAUAUAAAAAUGUCAUUUGAGCUCAAUAAGUGUAAAAUUCUUAAUUUGUUCCAAAGGAAGGUAAAGAUUGAGGCUUUGAGCUUGAAUACAGAGGUCACAUUGAUAAGAUAAAAGGUGAUACCUACAAAUAAUAUCUGUCUCCUCUAGGCAAAAUUUAUUAAGAUAUGAAAGAGAAGGCCUCACAAGAUCUACUGAGAAAGUGCAUUCAAUGCUGAGUGGGAACAAAAUAUUUAAAGAAAUUAACCCCUAUGCAAUACCAGUCUUAAUGUAUACAUUCAGAACUGUACAAUGCACCAUAACAGAUACAAAAGUAUCCCAAUAAAAAUCUGUUCAAUAUUAAUAAACAGUGCCAAUAACCCUAAAAUAACUAUAGAAAUGUGAACGCCUCCUUGCCAAAAAAAGUAUAGGCUUAAAAAGAUAUUCAUAGAGCAUGUAAUAAACAGGUCAAAAAUCUACAGAAACAUCUUUGGAACAAGCAGACAUUAUAGGCUGAAAAUGGGCACGUCUCUUUGGAUUUGAUUAAUAUAACCGAAAGCUGAUUGCUAUAUAUAGACCAGGGAUCAGAGAGCUAUUUCUCAGUAUAAAAUGACAAGUGUCACGUGCUGUAUGGUGGCAGACAUUUUCCCUACAGAGGAGCUGAUGCUACCUUUUAUGUGUCAUGGGACCCCUUUGGCCAUCCAGUGAAGCCUAUGGACUCCUCAGAAUCAUGUUUUUAAAAUGUAUAAAAUAAAAUACAUAGGACAACAAAGGAAACCAAUUAAAUUGAAAUUCAGUUAUCAAAAUAUUUUUUUUAAAACAAAUUCACAGAUUCCAAGUUAAGAACUAUAAGGAAGAGCAGCAUUGCUGGGAACUGAGUCACUGGAGCUAUGUUGUUAUUGUUUGUCCUUAGUUCUUGAAGAGGACCAUGACAUCAGGGUGAUAUCAUGACUUGCAGUGAAUUGGAUUUAAGUAAGGCAAAGCUGUGCAA
Long non-coding RNA from Dromiciops gliroides (monito del monte), 2762 nucleotides. RefSeq lists it as uncharacterized. The record is from RefSeq and is a predicted model, not a curated record. NCBI's taxonomy places the organism in Eukaryota, Metazoa, Chordata, Mammalia, Microbiotheria, Microbiotheriidae. The transcript is spliced from 3 exons.